This 201-nucleotide small RNA is filed under the name Paenibacillus phocaeensis. RNAcentral describes it as "ydaO/yuaA leader". It matches the Rfam family "c-di-AMP riboswitch aptamer (ydaO/yuaA leader)", at positions 11 to 130 of the family's 134-position model. From Rfam's summary of the family: This family represents a conserved RNA structure found upstream of the ydaO and yuaA genes in Bacillus subtilis and related genes in other bacteria. The ydaO/yuaA element is thought to act as a genetic "off" switch for the ydaO and yuaA genes in its native state. Lineage: Bacteria; Bacillati; Bacillota; Bacilli; Caryophanales; Paenibacillaceae. The record is from RNAcentral.
CUCGCUGAAUCUCCUUCGCCGGAGAACGGGGGAACCAAUGCGGGCAGCGGUUGGCAGAAGCCAGUUGCGCCGGCAUUUGAUUUCUUUACCAGGGUCUAUGGGGUGAAUUCGAGGUCAUUGCGCCAUGAGCGAAUGAACUGAGAAAGGGCGGCUCUCUUUCGCCCGAACCCGACAGCUAACCUCGUAAGCGUAUAAGAGAGG